CUGGCCAAGGUCAUAGGCCAAAAUAUAGCCCAUUUUGACAUAAAAACCAUCUCCAAUCGAGGGUUAGGCUAAAAGGCUUGUGGGCGUCACCAUGCCAUAAAUAAAACACCAAGCUAGUGGGCUGGCCAAAAUGAGCCAGCCAGCUAGCUCGAUGAACAGCCCAGCCAGCACCUUCUAGUCCCAUAAACCAGAUAAGUUCCAUGCUUAAUCACAUGUCGAUUGAAAGAAGCAAUAUUGCAGCAAAACCUCUUCUUAAGUGAUGCAUCAACAAUUAAGUAAUUCAUGUGUUCUCUCCGAAGUGAGAGUUCUUCUCUCUAGAGUGAGAAUCUUCCUUACUGAUUCUGUGAGAUCUUCAGUUUUAAGCACUUCUGGUGGCACCGGCUCUAGCUUCGGCUAGGGUCGGUUGUUGGGUCCUCUUUUCCCUCUUCUCCUUCUACUUUCCCUGCAUCUACUGUUGGUUCUUCCAAAUUUCAAUUUUGCCUAUCUAAUUCCCCAACCCUUGUGUGUUUUCCUCUUCCUGGCCCUUCCUUACUUUGAUUUUCAAUCGUGUUCUUUGUGGAGUUCGUGUGUAGAAUUCCAGUGCUCUCACUGGCUUGGGUGUUUCCAACACCACCACCUUCUUCUUGGUGUUUGCCGUUUCCGACAGUGUUGCUCACUGAGCUUCACAUAGGUGGUUGACCUCUUUCGUUUGGGUGCCGAUUACCUCUUACUUAUGGUUGUGCGCAUGAGGCUUCUGAGAAUAAGAUGAUCGAUGGUGGUGGGAGAAUUGGUUGGCUGGAAGCUCCUCAGAUUGGCAAUGGAGAAAGUGGUGGAUGCUUCUCGGAUGUUCUUUCGUUUUUGGGCCUUAUGGGCUUUUUUAUGUUUAUGUUUUUUUAAGUCCAUUUUUGGUUGUUUAUAGAUGUUGUUGGGUUUUUGUUUUGUUGUAAGUUUGUGUACGGUGUGUUUGUUUGAAAUAAAAUUUCUUACUUGACCAAAAAAGAAAAAAGUGAUGCAUCAACUUAAUUAAUUAAAGCAGCUUUAGCAAAAAGUUAAUUAAUUAUCUCUUCUUUUUGUACACAAAAGUAAACAUCUUAAUUGCAUAUUUUGCAAGUAAUCUCAUCCCCGGU
RNAcentral lists this long non-coding RNA (1106 nucleotides) under Malus domestica (apple). RNAcentral describes it as "long non-coding RNA (MDOM_LNC014251)". The record is from RNAcentral. Lineage: Eukaryota; Viridiplantae; Streptophyta; Magnoliopsida; Rosales; Rosaceae.